CCAGGAGUCAGGUUAGGGGCGUGGGGGGGGGGGUCAUGUUAGACAUCUGGUUAGGAGGCAGGUUAGGGAGGCAAGAUUAGGGAUGUGUGUGUUUGGGUCAUGUUAGACAUCUGAUUAGGAGGCAGGUUGGGAAUGGGGGGGGGGUCAUGAGGCAGGUUAGGGAGGCGGGUUAGGAGGCAGAUCAGGGAUCAGAGAAAGACCCCGCUGUGUGCCAUGAUCAGGCUGCAGCCAUGAUCAGGCUCAGAGCAGGUGAAGUUGGAUUUGACGGGGUUGGAGUUUUGCCCAGAAGUGUGACAAAGGAGGAGAGGGACAGUGGAGUAAAGAUGUGUGCGGAAGAGUGGCCAUAAGGCUUGACUGGGAAAUUUAAACUGGGGCGGGGGGUGGGGGGAGGGUGGAAGAGGUGGGAGCAGUGCGGGACGGCGGGAAGUGGCAGCACCACUGGCCGGUGGAGGCUGCUCAUCCUGAAGAGGGUUUGGACUCAGGUACCAGAGCAAGAGGGGGGUGCUCACAGUGGGUGGUGGGUGGCCCACAUUUUUCGGCCACGGCAGGGGCUAGGAAGUGAGCCCGGGAGAAGAGCCUCAAGUGAGGCUGGAGGCCAAGGUCCUUGGGUAGAAGAGCCAGGACGCCUUUGAGCGCCAUGGGGAAAGGCAUGCCUUCCUCCGACUGAAAGCAGGCUCACCGGGCACACGCAGCAGAAGGGGUGGGCGCCGGCCUCCAGCCCCCUCUCACCUGUCAGAACGACCUGCAUGACCGGGGCAGUGGCCCGGGCUCGGGUAUGGAAGAGACAUUCGUUUGGGUCACCAGUACUCAAGAAUGGUGUCUGUGGGGCUGAGACAGAGCCCACGGCCACGCCCGUUCUCUCCCUGUCUCCGUAACAGAGCGCUGGGUUCUCCGUUCACCGGCCUCCUUUGACCCUUCUUCCUUCUGCCUGCAAAGCACUGAGGGUGAUGGAAUGGAAAGAAAGGACCCUGGACUGCCAACCUUGGACUUGUUUGACUUAAAAUGUGCGCUUUCCGAGGCCAGAUCACUAAGAGCUCUGCAGCUUGCGCCUUCUUUCCUGCGGAUUCCCGCUCCAGGGGACGCCAGCCCUGUGUUGGGAGGACACUGGAGCAGCUUGUGGAGAGGCCCCUGUGGGGUGGAACGGAGGCCGCCUGCCAAUAUCCAGAAACACCCGAGUCAGCCAUCUUGGUAGCCCACCUGCAGCCCCAAGGCUGGCUCACCCACCCUGAAUUCCCGACCGAAGAAACUGCACAUGAUAAUCAAUGUCUACUGUUGUUUUCAACCAUUAAGUUUUGGGGUAACGUGACACAUGACAAUCAAGAAUAGACAAGUUCCCGGGGCAUGGAUCCCGGUGUCUCUGCCAUACGCCAGAGACGUUCGUGGGCUUGGACGAGGUGUCCACUCCAGCGGGCCCAGAGCUCCCACGACAGUUGUUCUCUGUCAAGCCUGGAGGCCUCACCAUCCGUGCAGCCCCGUCCUCAGCCAAGGACAGUGGGAACUCUGAGACUCCCCUCUCCACGGAUUCCAGCAGCACCACUGCGUCCUCAGCUCAGUAAUACGGGGUGGCCUGGCUGGACGCCAUCUCUCUGUGCCAGGGUGGGAGACUGCCACAGUAGCAAGCUGGGGUGGGCAAGGUGGACCUCAGGAAUUUCCCUUCCCUGGGGAUCGCAGUCCUGCAUUUCCUGUUUUUCACACCUGAAAAGGGCUGCCUCGUCUGUUUUGUCCAUGUUAAUGAUUCGUUACAGUGGAGGGCCAGUCUGGCAGGAUUCUCUCCAAUAGCCCAUACAGGAGCCUCAAUCAAAUGUGUUUUUUUCAAAGGCAAGUUCUUUCCACGUGUGUGGGCAACCUGGUGAGCUCUGCAUCAAGCCUAGAAUUUAGUUAGUGGUGAUGGACUGACGUUGGUUUCUUAGUUGUGAUAAAGCUACCACGGAAAUGUAAGGUGUGGACAUUAAAGGAAAUGGGUGGGGGGAGCUCUGUGUUACCUGUGCAUCUUUCCUGUAAAUGUGACAUUAUUGCAAUAAAAAAUGUUAAAUGAUC
Felis catus (domestic cat) is the source of this 2037-nucleotide long non-coding RNA. RefSeq lists it as uncharacterized. The record is from RefSeq and is a predicted model, not a curated record. The transcript has 2 exons. NCBI's taxonomy places the organism in Eukaryota, Metazoa, Chordata, Mammalia, Carnivora, Felidae.